This 253-nucleotide ribosomal RNA is filed under the name uncultured bacterium. RNAcentral's name for it is "partial 16S ribosomal RNA". It matches the Rfam family "Bacterial small subunit ribosomal RNA", at positions 524 to 776 of the family's 1533-position model. The record is from RNAcentral.
UACGGGGGGGGCAAGCGUUGUUCGGAAUUACUGGGCGUAAAGAGUGCGUAGGUGGUGCCCUAAGUCUGUUGUGAAAUCUCCCGGCUUAACUGGGAGGGUGCGGUGGAAACUGGGGUGCUUGAGUGUGGGAGAGGUAAGCGGAAUUCCUGGUGUAGCGGUGAAAUGCGUAGAUAUCAGGAGGAACACCGGUGGUGUAGACGGCUUACUGGACCACGACUGACACUGAGGCACGAAAGCGUGGGUAGCAAACAGG